RNAcentral lists this ribosomal RNA (582 nucleotides) under Triticum aestivum (bread wheat). RNAcentral's name for it is "partial small subunit ribosomal RNA". The record is from RNAcentral. Lineage: Eukaryota; Viridiplantae; Streptophyta; Magnoliopsida; Poales; Poaceae.
AUGUGGACCCGUCUGCGUGAGCGCUAUCAGCCCUCUGGUGAUGCCUUAUACCUCUCUGUGAUCCGUCAGGAGCAUGCUCUUCAGCAGGGUCACUCUACUGUUGAUGACUUCUAUGCACAGAGUUCUGCUAUUUGGCGCCAGCUUGAUUCUCUCCGUAGUGCUGGGUGUCGUACCUGCCCCUGUUGCCAGGCUGUCCAGGCCAAUUUGGAGUUUCAUCGCGUCUAUGAGUUCCUGUCUCGACUCCGUAAGGAGUAUGAGCCCCGGCGUGCUCAGUUGUUUGCUCGUGGCCGUAUUUCUCUCAUGGAGGCGCUUUCUGAGAUUCAUGCUGAGGAGACUCGCUUACGUGGUGCUGGAUUGCUGGAGGUUCCCUCUGUGCUCGCUACUCGUGCUCCUACGCCACCUGCUCCACCGACCCCUUCUCGCUCGAGUGCUCCGCCGCUCUUGCCCACUCCUUCUGGAGGCUCAGGUCGCCCCCGUCCACAUUGCACCUAUUGCAACAAUGAUGGUCAUCUUGAGUCUCAGUGCUACACGAAGAAGAAACACCUGCGCAAGGCUCGAUCAUCAUCUUCAGGGACUUCGUCA